RNAcentral lists this ribosomal RNA (166 nucleotides) under uncultured Desulfobacterium sp. RNAcentral describes it as "partial 16S ribosomal RNA". It matches the Rfam family "Bacterial small subunit ribosomal RNA", at positions 1217 to 1382 of the family's 1533-position model. Lineage: Bacteria; Pseudomonadati; Thermodesulfobacteriota; Desulfobacteria; Desulfobacterales; Desulfobacteriaceae. The record is from RNAcentral.
CACACGUGCUACAAUGGGCGGUACAAAGGGUAGCGAUGCCGCGAGGUGAAGCCAAUCCCAAAAAGCCGUCCACAGUUCGGAUUGGAGUCUGCAACUCGACUCCAUGAAGCCGGAAUCGCUAGUAAUCGUGGAUCAGCAUGCCACGGUGAAUACGUUCCCGGGCCUU